Small nuclear RNA from Junco hyemalis (dark-eyed junco), 95 nucleotides. The record is from Ensembl. Lineage: Eukaryota; Metazoa; Chordata; Aves; Passeriformes; Passerellidae.
UUGUCAUGUCAGCAGCACAGGUACCAAAACUGGAAUGAUACAGAGAACAUCAGCAUGGCUCCUGCACAGAAAUUCGUGAAGUGUUCCGUGUUUUU